Long non-coding RNA from Helianthus annuus (common sunflower), 240 nucleotides. RefSeq lists it as uncharacterized. The record is from RefSeq and is a predicted model, not a curated record. The transcript has 2 exons. Lineage: Eukaryota; Viridiplantae; Streptophyta; Magnoliopsida; Asterales; Asteraceae.
AAACGGGUCAAAAGGAGGCAAGGGAACGGACGCAAAAAGGUUGUACGGGUCACGGAGGAUCAUCAAGGAAUAAAGAUCGAGGACCGAGUCACAUGAAGGAUUGUACGGGGUUGUCUAAGGAUGUAAUUUGUUAUACAUAAGUUAUGAUUUAUUCUAUAAUUCAGUCAGUUUGAUGUAUUCAAUAUAAAAGAGUUAUCUUAAAAGUGAACUUUCAAGUAAGACAUAAGGUUUAUAAUGAAA